Molecule: ribosomal RNA, 501 nt
Filed under: uncultured bacterium
Lineage: Bacteria
Description: partial 16S ribosomal RNA
Rfam family: Bacterial small subunit ribosomal RNA
Source: RNAcentral
AUUGAACGCUGGCGGCAGGCUUAACACAUGCAAGUCGAGCGGGGGAAGGUAGCUUGCUACAUUUCCUAGCGGCGGACGGGUGAGUAAUGCUUAGGAAUCUGCCUAUUAGUGGGGGACAACAUUCCGAAAGGAAUGCUAAUACCGCAUACGCCCUACGGGGGAAAGCAGGGGAUCUUCGGACCUUGCGCUAAUAGAUGAGCCUAAGUCAGAUUAGCUAGUUGGUGGGGUAAAGGCCUACCAAGGCGACGAUCUGUAGCGGGUCUGAGAGGAUGAUCCGCCACACUGGGACUGAGACACGGCCCAGACUCCUACGGGAGGCAGCAGUGGGGAAUAUUGGACAAUGGGCGAAAGCCUGAUCCAGCCAUGCCGCGUGUGUGAAGAAGGCCUUUUGGUUGUAAAGCACUUUAAGCGAGGAGGAGGCUACUUGGAUUAAUACUCUAGGAUAGUGGACGUUACUCGCAGAAUAAGCACCGGCUAACUCUGUGCCAGCCGCCGCCGUAA